UACGUAGGGGGCAAGCGUUGUCCGGAUUUAUUGGGCGUAAAGAGCUCGUAGGCGGUUGGGCAAGGCACGUGUGAAAUCUCCACGCUCAACGUGGAGGCGCCACGUGAGACUGCCCUGACUCGAGUCCGGUAGGGGAGCGUGGAAUUCCCGGUGUAGCGGUGAAAUGCGCAGAGAUCGGGAGGAACACCCGUAGCGAAGGCGGCGCUCUGGGCCGGUACUGACGCUGAGGAGCGAAAGCGUGGGGAGCAAACAGG
This 254-nucleotide ribosomal RNA is filed under the name uncultured bacterium. RNAcentral describes it as "partial 16S ribosomal RNA". It matches the Rfam family "Bacterial small subunit ribosomal RNA", at positions 524 to 776 of the family's 1533-position model. The record is from RNAcentral.